CCUACGGGUGGCUGCAGUGGGGAAUAUUGGACAAUGGGGGCAACCCUGAUCCAGCCAUGCCGCGUGUGUGAAGAAGGCCCUCGGGUUGUAAAGCACUUUCAGUGAGGAAGAACGCCUGGUGGUUAAUACCCAUCAGGAAAGACAUCACUCACAGAAGAAGCACCGGCUAACUCCGUGCCAGCAGCCGCGGUAAUACGGAGGGUGCGAGCGUUAAUCGGAAUUACUGGGCGUAAAGCGCGCGUAGGUGGCUUGAUAAGCCGGUUGUGAAAGCCCCGGGCUCAACCUGGGAACGGCAUCCGGAACUGUCAAGCUAGAGUGCAGGAGAGGAAGGUAGAAUUCCCGGUGUAGCGGUGAAAUGCGUAGAGAUCGGGAGGAAUACCAGUGGCGAAGGCGGCCUUCUGGACUGACACUGACACUGAGGUGCGAAAGCGCGGGUAGCAAACAGGAUUAGAUACCCCUGUAGUC
This 465-nucleotide ribosomal RNA is filed under the name Vreelandella stevensii. RNAcentral's name for it is "partial 16S ribosomal RNA". It matches the Rfam family "Bacterial small subunit ribosomal RNA", at positions 338 to 795 of the family's 1533-position model. Lineage: Bacteria; Pseudomonadati; Pseudomonadota; Gammaproteobacteria; Oceanospirillales; Halomonadaceae. The record is from RNAcentral.